UGGUGACUGUGGCGGCAGGACU
RNAcentral lists this non-coding RNA (22 nucleotides) under Arabidopsis thaliana (thale cress). The record is from RNAcentral. Lineage: Eukaryota; Viridiplantae; Streptophyta; Magnoliopsida; Brassicales; Brassicaceae.